RNAcentral lists this long non-coding RNA (613 nucleotides) under Malus domestica (apple). RNAcentral describes it as "long non-coding RNA (MDOM_LNC005712)". Lineage: Eukaryota; Viridiplantae; Streptophyta; Magnoliopsida; Rosales; Rosaceae. The record is from RNAcentral.
CAUCCAUGGAACUAUUAUGAGUUUUCAUGGUGUUCUUCAUUGUUCUUGGUGUUCUUGCCAAGAACAUAAAGUUUUGAAGUUUUGAUUCAAAAAUUUUAUGUUUUUCAUAAAGUUUUGGUAUAUUAUUGAUUUAUUAUUUGAUGGGUGAUGUUAUUGGUGAGAUGUGAUGAAAUGUUUUAUUGUUUUGUCAUAAACUUUAAGUCUUUCUUACAAACCAUCACCUUCACCUUUAACCUCACCUAAUAAAAUCAACUUGCAAAAAUUUUUUAGAAAUUUUUUCAAUUUUUCAUUAAAUGGCCGGCCACCCCUAGUGGGGGUCCUUUUGGGGCCUUUUGUGCAAUUAACAUAAAGUUUUGAUACUUUUGUGUUUUUUGCAUUUUGGCCCAAAAGUUUACGUUUUUACGUUUAGGCCCUAAAACUCUAAAGGACAAAUUGUUUUGAUCCUUUAAUGAUGUUUUUACAUUAUUAAAAUUUUGGGAUCUAGUUGUAUUUACAUGAAGUUGUGGACUAUUGUGUUUAUACAAAGUGACCCCAAAAGUUUUUUGUAUUUGCAUUAUGGCCCAAUUGUUGUGGUCAUAGUUUCCUUUUGGCCCAAAUAAAAUGAGAACAAAAU